This is a long non-coding RNA of Vespula pensylvanica (western yellowjacket), 1579 nucleotides long. RefSeq lists it as uncharacterized. The transcript is spliced from 2 exons. The record is from RefSeq and is a predicted model, not a curated record. Lineage: Eukaryota; Metazoa; Arthropoda; Insecta; Hymenoptera; Vespidae.
GCUACGAACGAUAGAAACAUGAACGAAGCUGAUUUCAAUGAAAUCUUUUUCACGCUAAAGGAGGCCUCGGGUAUAUUUCUCAUUUCACAAGCGGCUCGUAACCGAUCGGUAGUGCGUACGCCGCAAAUCGGACUCGAAAACCAUGAAGAAGAGCUUCAAGUUAAAUCUCGAACACGAAACGAACUCUCAUCAAGAUGAAAAUUACCCUUCCUUGAUGCAAAACUUCUCGAGUGACUGGAUAGUCUAAAAGUGAACGAACGAUUUUGAUCAGUUCAGUGAGAAGAAAACUAAUAUUAAAGCGAAUAAGUAAUUUAGAAAUUUUCAUAUAAACUUACGACGACGUUAAACUGGAUUAUUAUCUUAUACAGCAUGAUGCUUUUUUGAAAAUUCUAAGAAUAUGAAAUUCGUAAAAUAAAACUAUUGCGUUUUGAAGAGGCUUAUUUGUGUUUAAGUCCACUUGAGAAUUAAAUUAUCGCAAAUUAAACCUCGAUAAUAUCUUUCUUGUUAGAGAAAAUAACAUUUACGAUAAUAAUUAUCGAGAAAUGACAAACACGAAAAUACUUACAAAGAUAAAAUUGUAGAAGACCUUCAAAUUAAUAACAAUACAUGAGGUAAAAAUAUUGUGAACAAAGGAAUGUAAAGGUUAUCUGACUCUUAUCCGAAAUCGAGCAACAAAACAAACGAACGAAAGACCGGAAAACUGAAUAUUCAUAAGGAAUGUCUGAAACACAAAUAAGCAAUCGCUAAGGAUCCUUAAUUUUGUCUACGAAAUCUAUGAAAUAAACACUCAAUGAAUUCUCAAAGACGAGCGUUUCGUACAACAAUAAAAAAUAGUAGGUCUUGAGAAAUCUUCACGGAUGAGGCAUUUGAAAAUCUUUUUCUCGAUCUCCCUUUUACUCAUUCUUCCUUUCAUCUCAUUAACCGAAUAAUAUCCAGUGAGAAAAUAUAAUUAAGCGAAAGCUAUUUGCCUCGUAUUGAAAUGAAAUCGAGUAUUGGACAUGAUUGUAUUUCUUAGAAGGCAGAGGAGCAGUAACCGCAGAGACGACGAUUCCAACGUUCUCGAAUAUUCCCAAGGGUUAACAAUGUCCUUAAUGACGUAACAUAAUUACGAAGAAGCUUUCCCUCACGAUGUACGUCACCGGCAAACGCGGGAGCUUAAUUGUAAAGCCUGGAAGAUCGAGGCUAAGCGGCUAAACGAGCACGAUCGUCCUUGACGAAGGACUCCGAGGUAAAGCUCCUAAUCUGAACUUUUCCUUCUCUUCCUCUUCAAGCUGCUUCUUUACGUCGUUCUCAUCGAUAUAGAAACAUCAAGAGAUAAACCACAAUGUCAUCCUGCGCUACCAUUAGAGAGUAAUCGCUUUAGAAACAGCCUCUCCUUUCUAUUUUAUCAUUCUCUUACCAGAUUUACUAAAAUCCCUUUUCGAAAGACCCAUUUAACACUUAUGAUUAUGUACUCGUAUAAAAGGAAAUAUUAUAUGAAACAUCAUAUGAAAUAUUAUUAUACUUAGAACCUAUUUAACGAUCACAAUUAUAUCGUACUCCUGUAAAGUGAAAUUAAAAUAAACGAAUGCUAUUAAUA